Molecule: long non-coding RNA, 981 nt
Filed under: Bos indicus x Bos taurus (hybrid cattle)
Lineage: Eukaryota; Metazoa; Chordata; Mammalia; Artiodactyla; Bovidae
Description: lncRNA (ENSBIXG00000028695.1)
Source: RNAcentral
CACUGUGCUUAAAAAGGGAUUGAACAGCUGUCGUCAGGAUCCUCGAACUGUUGGCCUGAUCUUGAACUGAGUGUGGGUGGGACUUCUCCCACGACCUCUGACACCUCGACCUCUGACAACACAAAAUUCCCUAGAGUGAUUUAUCUCACAAAUAGCAAAGUAGAGAGAAAGGCAAUGAAAAUUACUGACUUCGGUAUUUGUCUAGAUUUCUGACUCUACGAUGGGUAAAAGCAGUGUGGAUUUGUCCAGUCAGCCACGGUUCGUGAAGCGCAGGGGCCUGGCCAGCAGUCCGGGAACGUCUACCACCCCACGCCCAGGACGUCAUCCCCCACCUGGACCCACGCUGCCCCUUCCUGCCCUUGCGAGAGUCAAAACUCCUGGGAAGGAGACUGGUGCUGCCGGCUUGCUUGAUUUUCCAUUGACCCCCAGUGACAGGAAUACUUAGGCUAAAAAGAAAAGUUUCAAUCCGGCACAACUUCAAAAGUGAGCUUCUGAUGGCAAAAUCAGAACGUUCUUCUUUCUAUGCUUCCCUUUAAAAAGGUAAAGGCAAGUCCGACGAUCUCCCGUCCAGCAAGUAUCAUUUCCUGCAAGCACAAGGAUGACAAUGACGAGUAUAAACCACCGCUGAGCCAGACGGCACAGAUGGACGAGCAGGCGCACUGCAGGGCUGCGCGGGCGUCGGCACAGCGUGGAGAGCAGUGUGAGCACCAGGACCCCGAGCUCAGACUUGCAAGUGGAAGGACAGUCGGCCCUGUAAGGAAGAGGUCCUCUCCCCUUGAUGGAAGGAGUGCAGCCUCUGUCCCACCGCUCUGGUGCCAGAGCUGCAGGCUGUUCUCAGGGACAGUGAGGGGAGGGCAUCCACAGGGCAUGAGGGAACAGUGUGGGGAGGGCGUCCACAGGGCGUCAGGGGACAGUGAGGGGAGGGCGUCCACAGGGCAUGAGGGAACAGUGUGGGGAGGGCGUCCACAGGGCGUCAGGUGA